AGGAAGUUUGUGCUAGAUUGAGGGACAUAUCCUUCAUCUGUCAUGGUUUGGAAUUAGUUGUCUUCUUUGAUAGUCCCAUCCAAGGUCUUCAGUUGCAACCAUGAUAUUAUGAUGUUCAUAGGAGAAUGUGCAUGGAGAUGAUGCCAUUCCCCUUGUUCUUGGAUGAGAGCAUUACAGACAGGGAAAGUAACCCUUCUUCACAUCUCAGGCUUGAUUGUACCUCUCUCUUGUCAGGACAGCAAUGCAUGUAACCAGAGACAAUGUUUGGGGACCGGGGAGAGAGAAGUGUUGCAGUCUCUGGAUUCAAGUUUUCUCACCUUUCCCAAAAUAGAACUCCUCAGGCUAUAUAAAUACCUGAUGAAGGAAGAGUUCCACGUGCUUGGAAAAUCAUCCCUGAACUCUGUGGAGAAAUAUGCCUGCAGCCAUAUUUCUUAAAUGUAUAAGAUUCCCCAUCUCCAGAUUUCUGUCCAGCCUAUGCAUGGAAUCACAAAUGACCUGUCUCCAAAUCAGCCAGAUCUUGGGAAGAAUUUGUUUCAAAAUUGAUCUAAAAUUAAAACAGCAUAGAACCAGAGAACAUCCUGAGUUGGAAGGGACCUGGAAGGGUC
Gallus gallus (chicken) is the source of this 605-nucleotide long non-coding RNA. The record is from Ensembl. Lineage: Eukaryota; Metazoa; Chordata; Aves; Galliformes; Phasianidae.